AUAGUCUGUCCUUUUUCCGAGAAUCUUGAGUAAUGUUUCUUUUCUUGUUUAUAUGAUUCGUAUUGGAGAAGUUUGUUAUUGUUAUGAUAUACCAUUCUUCAUGGAAAAUUUCAAAUAAAUCAUUAAAUAUAUUGUGAAUAGGGGAGACUGAAAAUAAAUAAAAACCGACCGUAUCAGAAUAUUUUUCAAUAUGUCUGAAGAAAUAAAGGAGGAAAAACCUGAAUUACCCAUUAAAUCAUCCAUGGAAAUUUUGUCUGAAUUAUUUAGUACAUUUCAUGCCAAACCACCUAUCAUUAUCAAAAAGGAAAAAUCUGAUAAUAAUAAAAAACAUAAAAAGAAAAAGAAACAUAAACACAAGGAUAAAAAACACAAGAAGAAAGAUAAGAAGAAAAGACACACUAGUAGCAGUUCGAGUGAUAAUGAUGAAGUGGAUCUUGCAAAAAUUCUUAUUAAAAAUGAAAAAAGCUUGGCAGAAAAAAAAAUUAAGGUGGAAGGAAAUAAUGAGAAAGAUGUUGAAAAUAAUAUAGAAGAGGAAGGAAAAGAAGAGAAGAAAGAUUCUAGAUCUACUAAGAAAAUAAAAAGUAAAAUAUUUAUAAAAGAUCUAAAGUUGAGUUCUAUUUUUGAAUCAACUAUACAAGAAAUACAUGAAAAAAUUAUUGAACAAGAGGAAGGAGAGGCUUCAGAAUCAGAUUCCAGCUCGAACCAUAAAAAGAAAAAGCACAAGUCGAAAUCAAAGAAACGCAGUCGAAGUAGUAGUGACGAACAUCGAAAAAAGAAAAUGAAAACUGAUGAUUCAAAAGUAAGAAGAAAUGAUUCUAGGUUCAGGGACAGAAGUAAAGAAAGAAGAAAACAUAGAGAAAGAAGUCGUGAUCGUAGUAGAAGUCGAGAGAGGCGAAGUCAGGACAGAGAUAGCAGAAUGAAAGACACUCAUAGGGAGAGGAAACAUAUAUCUAGAGAUAGAGACGAAUAUAGCAGAGAAUUGGAGGACUACAAGAGGAGUAGGAAUAAAAUCAGUGAUGACGGGUUUUAUAAACCAAGGGAAAGUAAUAAGGAAGAGAGAGAAAAUAAAUGGUUUAUGAGAGACAGGUACAGAGGUUACAACGAGAGAGACAGAAAUAAUGAAAGGAAUUCAGAAUCAAGGUUUGACAAGAAAAAAUUAUUGGAAAUCGCCAGAAAAAAUGCCAUAACCAUGAUGAAAUCGGGAAGCCUUCCAGCUGCAUUGACACUAGGACCGCAAGCACAAGAAAAGGUAAUAGCAGCAAUAAAAUCAGGAGGCAAAACAAUAGAGGAAUUGACAGAUUUUUGCAAGACAUUAUCGAAGAAAGAAGAAUUGGGGGAACUUUCUAGUUUAUCUGAAAAAGAUGAUAGCGAUAGUGACCCUGAUAAACCAUUCCAUCAUCCAUUCCAGUUGAAGGAUAGACCCACUUCCAUAACAAUGAAUAUAAAGAACUCGGUUCCGCUUCCAAUUAAAUCCAGUAUGGAAAGGACCAGUGAGCUACGCAUUCAGUUUCCCGUAAGCAGCGGUCAGCAACACCGCAAAGGAGAAGAGUGGAUGCCUGUAUCACCACCAGCAAAGAAGACUGACAAUAAACCUCCUCUUCCUGUCCCACCACCAACAAAUUCCAUUGUUCUACCGAUCGAACCUACUCCGGUUCCUCUAGUGGCGCCGCCAGUAGUUUUACCUAAAAUUGUAACUGUUUCUGCUCUACCCAAUGCACCUCCAGGACCGCAAGUUUUCCCGACCCCUGUUAAUGAGCCUACGGCAGAUAUUGGAUCAAUAGUUUCACAGAGACUGACUGCAAUUCGUAGAUUACAGGAAAACCCCCACGAUGUACAGGCUCUCACUCAGAUGUACAAGUCCAAUAAAGAGAUGCAGUCAUGGGCUACCAGCAAACAGCAGCUAGGUCAGUUUACUGGAUCAACAGGUGCUCAAAUAUUGUCACAGGCUGAGUUGUCAUCAGGCUAUCAGGCCUGGGCCAAAAAGGCCAAUAAAAUAUUGAACAAAGGUCCAACGCGAGAAGUUUUGGAGAUCCACGGUAUCAACAUCUGGAUCAACUUCAAACUGCUGCUCCUGUAUCAGGAGGUAUGGGAAUGCAUCUCCUUCAGAAAAUGGGUUGGAGACCCGGAGAAGGUUUGGGUAAAGAAAAAUCCGGGGCACUAGAACCACUCCUGUUGGAGGUAAAAUUGGAUAAGAAAGGUUUGGUUGCUAAUGAGGAGCAACGCGGAAAGAACAGAAAAGUCAAAGGUGCACCUGUUGUGAAGAAUUUACAGGGCAAGCACCCUGUUUCCCUGUUGGGAGAGUACGCGUCGAAGAAAAAGUUGGGUGCUCCCCAAUAUAUUUUGGAGUUUGAGUGCGGUCCAGAUCACAAGAAAAAUUUUCUAUUUAAGGUUGUACUUAAUGGAAUGGAAUACAAACCAAAUGUAGCAAGUAACAAUAAGAAGGAAGCCAAGGCAAGCGCAGCGACAAUUUGCCUACAACAAAUAGGGCUUCUGCCUCCUUGAAUAUAAUUAUUACAUUCUGAGUAAUUUUCUGUUGUAAAUAAAUUGUUGAUUUUUUGUGUUAUCUUAUUGAUUGA
Molecule: unclassified non-coding RNA, 2576 nt
Organism: Leptinotarsa decemlineata (Colorado potato beetle)
Lineage: Eukaryota; Metazoa; Arthropoda; Insecta; Coleoptera; Chrysomelidae
Source: RefSeq, a predicted model, not a curated record